GGAUUGUGGCUCAGCGAUAGAGUGCUCCCCUAGCAUGGGCAGGACCUGGGUUCGAUCCUCAGCUCCA
This 67-nucleotide transfer RNA is filed under the name Marmota monax (woodchuck). RNAcentral describes it as "tRNA.Ala". The record is from RNAcentral. Lineage: Eukaryota; Metazoa; Chordata; Mammalia; Rodentia; Sciuridae.